AGACCCCGUGAACCUUUACUAUAGCUUGACACUGAACAUUGAGCCUUGAUGUGUAGGAUAGGUGGGAGGCUUUGAAGCGUGGACGCCAGUCUGCGUGGAGCCAACCUUGAAAUACCACCCUUUAAUGUUUGAUGUUCUAACGUUGGCCCCUUACCGGGGUUGCGGACAGUGUCUGGUGGGUAGUUUGACUGGGGCGGUCUCCUCCCAAAGCGUAACGGAGGAGCACGAAGGUUAGCUAAUCCUGGUCGGACAUCAGGAGGUUAGUGCAAUGGCAUAAGCUAGCUUGACUGCGAGCGUGACGGCGCGAGCAGG
RNAcentral lists this ribosomal RNA (312 nucleotides) under Neisseria meningitidis. RNAcentral describes it as "partial 23S ribosomal RNA". It matches the Rfam family "Bacterial large subunit ribosomal RNA", at positions 2086 to 2397 of the family's 2925-position model. Lineage: Bacteria; Pseudomonadati; Pseudomonadota; Betaproteobacteria; Neisseriales; Neisseriaceae. The record is from RNAcentral.